This 253-nucleotide ribosomal RNA is filed under the name uncultured bacterium. Its description in RNAcentral is "partial 16S ribosomal RNA". It matches the Rfam family "Bacterial small subunit ribosomal RNA", at positions 524 to 776 of the family's 1533-position model. The record is from RNAcentral.
GACAGAGGGUGCGAGCGUUGUUCGGAAUUACUGGGCGUAAAGCGCGUGUAGGCGGCAGCGCAAGUCGGGCGUGAAAUCCCACGGCUCAACCGUGGAAGUGCACUCGAAACUGCGCAGCUAGAGUCCUGGAGAGGAAGGUGGAAUGCUUGGUGUAGAGGUGAAAUUCGUAGAUAUCAAGCGGAACACCGGUGGCGAAGGCGGCCUUCUGGACAGUGACUGACGCUGAGACGCGAAAGCGUGGGGAGCAAACAGG